This 1100-nucleotide long non-coding RNA is filed under the name Anser cygnoides (Swan goose). Its description in RNAcentral is "lncRNA (ENSACDG00005005257.1)". Lineage: Eukaryota; Metazoa; Chordata; Aves; Anseriformes; Anatidae. The record is from RNAcentral.
CGGAGCAGGGGGCACGGCCCGGAGCCUCCCCCGGGGCUCCGGCUUCGUAUGGGUGAAACCAAUUCGAUUCGACUCGAUUUUGCCUGACAAGAAAUAAAGGCAGAGCUGCGGGGCGGUUUAAAACCACGACUCGAACGGUUUCCGAGUAAAUGCAAAACCGUUUGGGAAAAGCUUUGCCAGAUGGUGAAGGGCUGAAAUUCGGGGAGAAGGGUUACAAGUGCCGAGCCGAGAAAAAUAAAUAAAUUAAAUCUGUAACUUUCCCCGUGCUGGGAAGUUGGACACGGAGCAUCCGAGCCGCCGUCUCGGGCUGGCUGUCGGACUGCAGCGCGUAAGGCGCGUCCUUGUGCUCCGUCCACACCAAACGGCUUCGAAACUGAUUUAAAAGAGUGUGUGUAAACGAGGUGGUGCAGCAAUUUCUUCCGGCUGAGUAAGUCGGUGAGCCAGGUUUGCUGGAAGUGGGAGUCAUUUUCUCUGAGCUCUGACCUUUCCUGCACCAGGCUCCGUCCCGAGGCGCUAGCGCCGGCAGCCCAUGGGGUCCAGCGGCACUGGGGCCGCCGGGAGCAGGAGCGGCUGAGCUGAGCGGAGCGUGUAGAUGCGGCCAGGUGAAGGAGGAGGGCUGCUGGCGGCCGCCCGGGCGGCUCUCCGGAGUAGGGAUCGCGGCCACGUUUGAGAGAUUUACGCUUCGAUUCACAGCGUUUGUUCCCCGGAAAAUAUUUUCAAAGAAAAGGGAAUUUAUCUACAAUUAUUUUUCGUUGUCUUUGACAAAAGAUUCCAAUAUAGAUAUUGCUGGAGGCGCAGGCAGCGCUGAACACCAGGAAGGGGAUUUCGUAAACAAUUUCUCAAAGCACUACAAAGUUUAAAUAUUAAUUUGGUCAUAAUAGGCAGAGAAGCAAUUAAAAAUGCUACAAAGCUGACUUUCUCCCUCCCUUACUUUCUCCUCCAUUUUCAUUUAACCACAGUAUAGAAAGUAGAUGUAAAACAAUAGGACCCUGAGCUGUACAGCGUUCUAAGCCUAGCUUGCCUUAAAGCUACAAUAUGGAUUUAAUUUAUAUGCAAAUGUAAGCAAUAAAAAGCCAGACACUGUAGAAAUUAUAGUAUUU